CAGCCGUAAACUAUGCGCGUUAGGUGUACUGGUGACCACGAGUCACCGGGGUGCCGAAGGGAAACCGUGAAACGUGCCGCCUGGGAAGUACGGUCGCAAGGCUGAAACUUAAAGGAAUUGGGCGGGGGAGCACCACAACGGGUGGAGCCUGCGGUUUAAUUGGACUCAACGCCGGGAAGCUCACCGGAUAGGACAGCAGAAUGAUUGCCGGGCUGAAGACCCUGCAUGACUAGCUGAGAGGAGGUGCAUGGCGUCAGUGACU
Molecule: ribosomal RNA, 262 nt
Filed under: uncultured archaeon
Lineage: Archaea
Description: partial 16S ribosomal RNA
Rfam family: Archaeal small subunit ribosomal RNA
Source: RNAcentral